GGGUCAGUAGGUCGGUCGUGCCACCGGUACGUACUGGUCUCACUGAUUCCCCCUUCCUGAAGAACCGUAAUGCCAUUAAUUUGGUGUUGCGGGGAAACAGGACUGUUACUUUGAAAAAAUUAGAGUUUUUAAAGCAAGCUAACGCUUGAAUACAUUAGCAUGGAAUAAUGAAAUAGGACGAUCGAUCCUAUUUUGUUGGUUUCUAGGAUUGACGUA
RNAcentral lists this ribosomal RNA (216 nucleotides) under Glomeromycotina sp. Its description in RNAcentral is "partial small subunit ribosomal RNA". The stretch from base 54 to 216 matches the Rfam family "Eukaryotic small subunit ribosomal RNA", at positions 700 to 864 of the family's 1831-position model. Lineage: Eukaryota; Fungi; Glomeromycota. The record is from RNAcentral.